This 72-nucleotide transfer RNA is filed under the name Camelus bactrianus (Bactrian camel). It matches the Rfam family "tRNA". Rfam says of the family: Transfer RNA (tRNA) molecules are approximately 80 nucleotides in length. The record is from Rfam by way of RNAcentral. Lineage: Eukaryota; Metazoa; Chordata; Mammalia; Artiodactyla; Camelidae. RNAcentral also lists the same sequence under 2 other names.
GAGAGUAUAGUUCAGUGGUAGAGCAUUUGCUUAGCAGGCACAAGGUCCUGGGUUCAAUUCCCAGUACUGACA